Molecule: small nuclear RNA, 73 nt
Organism: Theropithecus gelada (gelada)
Lineage: Eukaryota; Metazoa; Chordata; Mammalia; Primates; Cercopithecidae
Source: Ensembl
CCUGAUAUGGAGCAGAUUACCAUGUUCUCUGCACAAGAAUGACAUGCAAACUUGUGAAGUGUUCCAUAUUUUU